RNAcentral lists this ribosomal RNA (425 nucleotides) under uncultured bacterium. Its description in RNAcentral is "partial 16S ribosomal RNA". It matches the Rfam family "Bacterial small subunit ribosomal RNA", at positions 354 to 796 of the family's 1533-position model. The record is from RNAcentral.
GUGGGGAAUCUUGCGCAAUGGGCGAAAGCCUGACGCAGCCAUGCCGCGUGAAUGAUGAAGGUCUUAGGAUUGUAAAAUUCUUUCACCGGGGACGAUAAUGACGGUACCCGGAGAAGAAGCCCCGGCUAACUUCGUGCCAGCAGCCGCGGUAAUACGAAGGGGGCUAGCGUUGCUCGGAAUUACUGGGCGUAAAGGGCGCGUAGGCGGACAGUUUAGUCAGAGGUGAAAGCCCAGGGCUCAACCUUGAAAUUGCCUUUGAGACUGGCUGUCUUGAGUACGGGAGAGGUGAGUGUAACUCCGAGUGUAGAGGUGAAAUUCGUAGAUAUUCGGAAGAACACCAGUGGCGAAGGCGACUCACUGGCCCGUUACUGACGCUGAGGCGCGAAAGCGUGGGGAGCAAACAGGAUUAUAAACCCGAGUAGUCC